Molecule: ribosomal RNA, 468 nt
Filed under: uncultured bacterium
Lineage: Bacteria
Description: partial 16S ribosomal RNA
Rfam family: Bacterial small subunit ribosomal RNA
Source: RNAcentral
GACGAACGCUGGCGGCGUGCUUAACACAUGCAAGUCGAACGGAAAGGCCCUGCUUUUGUGGGGUGCUCGAGUGGCGAACGGGUGAGUAACACGUGAGUAACCUGCCCUUGACUUGGGGAUAACUUCAGGAAACUGGGGCUAAUACCGGAUAGGAGCUCCUGCUGCAGGGUGGGGGUUGGAAAGUUUCGGCGGUUGGGGAUGGACUCGCGGCUUAUCAGCUUGUUGGUGGGGUAGUGGCUUACCAAGGCUUUGACGGGUAGCCGGCCUGAGAGGGUGACCGGCCACAUUGGGACUGAGAUACGGCCAAGACUCCUACGGGAGGCAGAAGUGGGGAAUAUUGCACAAUGGGCGGAAGCCUGAUGCAGCAACGCCGCGUGCGGGAUGACGGCCUUCGGGUUGUAAACCGCUUUCGCCUGUGACGAAGCGUGAGUGACGGUAAUGGGUAAAGAAGCACCGGCUAACUACGUG